RNAcentral lists this long non-coding RNA (2054 nucleotides) under Solanum tuberosum (potato). RNAcentral describes it as "long non-coding RNA (STUB_LNC011488)". The record is from RNAcentral. Lineage: Eukaryota; Viridiplantae; Streptophyta; Magnoliopsida; Solanales; Solanaceae.
ACAAUGAAGUUUUCACACUUGUACUCCAACUGCAUUCAGUAAACAAGUGAUGUUGUGUUUCCAGCACACUCUCAUCACAUACAUAACACUUUCGAUCCUCCAUUGAAAUAUUCAUUUUCUGCAAUCUCUCACAAGUGAGUAGUUGUCAUUGACAUGCCAACCAAGUAAUAAAUCUAUGUUAAGGGAGCUUGACAGAGUUCCAGAUUAGAUAAGCCUCUUUUAAUUUGCAACCUACCAGCAUAUGACAAAAUUUUAUCUUAGGCAGAAUGUAUUCUUGCUAUUAUUUUGUCAACUAAACGGUCUUAGGCUACUUGUUGGCCAAAGUCUUACCUCUCUUUCUCUUUCUCUUUCUGGUAGCUGAUUUGAUGGCACAUCACCUCUUCACUCGUGUCCAUUCCUUCUGAUCAUUUUUAAGACAUUAACCUUCCAUUAGAUUUCGACAACCAAGGGUUUUCCUGGAAGGUUCUGAUGGUGACUUUCACCAAAGUUGAUAUUAUUUAUUUUGGUGUAUCUUUUGUGUUCAUCUAUAAAUGUUAAGUUAAAUUAUUUGAUGAGUUAAGUCCUUAUAUUCGAUGUUGUUACAUUUUGGAAAAAUAUAUUGUUUUGUAACUGAGCCAUAUAUAUAGUUGCAUUGAAGAAUCAAAAAUAAAAGAAGAUGCACAACGAGACAUCUCCAAUUUGAAACUAUGCAUAUCUACUGUAUAGGUUACAGGUUACUGAUGCAUCAAUAUUUCUUAAUUUAUUUCAAGCUACACAUAUUACUUGGUAAUGCUCGCAAAAGGGAGAGUAGUCGUGACUAAUUAACUAACAUGUAUGUCUGCCACUAAGAGUUGAUUCCUUAGCCUCUUAGUGUGACUGGUGUUGUCUGUUCUAUAUAUUUGCAGGAGUUUCACAGAAAAUUUUACCAUCCAAGCAAUGCAAGAAUAUGAUUUUAUGGAGACGAUGACCCACAUGAACGUUUGCGGAUCAUAAGUGGUACUUAUUUGUCUGCCUCUUACAAUUUCAAAUGAACAUGAACAGUGUUAAUUCAUGUGGUUUGCCUAUACUAGGAAUCCUUCUUGAACAAUGCUUUUGCUCGAAUAUUCAUUACUCUUAUGUACAUUUUAGAUGUGUUAAAAGGACAUAUGGAUAUUACAAAAUCGUUGACAUUCCAAUCUCAGAAACUUUACCUACACCUAUCAGAUGCCUUAUUUUAUUUUAAUUGUUUUGCACAUAGCUCAACAACAUAUGGACAUCAUUACACAAAAUUUUAAAAAUUUGGGGGACAUGAAACGUUUUACAUUAUUUAUUUUGGGUAUCAUUUCUAGUACAACCAAGAAGCAUUUGUGACUUCCAAGGUAAUGGAAAACACGUUCCCAAUCUUCUACUUAGUUAUUACGUUCCCCUUUGUUAACUGUGUCCUUGGUUUUUUCCCUCUAUUUUAUCCCAGAUGUUAUUUUGGUAGUGCCAAUCAUCAGACCGUAUGUGUUCAGACAUUGUUUCAAUGUUCAUAUGUUUUUCUUUGAUUUGAGUCGUAUGAAAUUUACGAAAAAAAUAUAAUUGCUAUAUCACAUGUUUUCUUUCUGUACCUUUUUUGGAGCUUAUAUUCAUGUACUUUUCUAACUUUUGUUCUUUGUUCUCGGUUGGUAUUGAACUAUUGUUAUAUUUGGAUGAGUAUUGUAAUUAAAGUUCAUGAAAUAUGUGCUUUGAAUUUAGUUGUAGUACUUGUCUAUUGGUACAUCUAUUUGGCAUGUUUUACUAGUUAUAACUAAACUAAUUUCUUGAGGAGUUUUGAAUCCCUUUUCUUGAUUGAUUUGAUUUUUUUAGAAAAUUUAAAAUUUUCUACGGGCCUUUUAAACUAAUAAAUCUAUGAGUUGAUCAAGUUUUUGAGCUAGACUAAACAUCAUGAGCACUUAAAAUUAUAUUAUGCUUGCCUUCUUAACACUUUGUAUAGAAACAGAGGAUUAGUGGUGAGUUUUCUUCAGACAUGUAAUUUUUAUAUUGCGGAGAGUGUGACUCCACUGUCUUGUUUCAGGUAUGCCUUCUCCUUCUCCUCGUCCUCGUCCUCGUCCUCC